CUUCUCUCUAAAACUCUCUCCCUUCUCUCUAAACUCUCUCAUUUCUCUCUAAAAUCCUCUCAUGUUUUUCUCACAAAGUUAUGUUGUCAUUUUAGGUAUUAUGAUUCAUGGUUUUCAUAUUCUCCUUUAAAAAUGUAUUACCAUUGAUGGUUUUCAUCUCCUCCUCUAAAAUGUAUUUUCUUCCAUGGUUGUUAUCUCCUCCUCCAAAAGAUGUACUUUUUCCAAGAUUUUAUUUGAGGCAUCAAGAUUAUGAAAAAUCAAACACAGUCAAAUAAAUUCCUUUGUAAUAUUUUCUCAUAAUAAAAUAUUCAUUUUUUAAUAAUUUUGGAUGCAUAAUCAAUAAAAAUUGUAUUCACUUUUAGUUUU
Long non-coding RNA from Raphanus sativus (radish), 366 nucleotides. RefSeq lists it as uncharacterized. The record is from RefSeq and is a predicted model, not a curated record. The transcript is spliced from 4 exons. Lineage: Eukaryota; Viridiplantae; Streptophyta; Magnoliopsida; Brassicales; Brassicaceae.